RNAcentral lists this ribosomal RNA (245 nucleotides) under uncultured bacterium. RNAcentral describes it as "partial 16S ribosomal RNA". It matches the Rfam family "Bacterial small subunit ribosomal RNA", at positions 15 to 244 of the family's 1533-position model. The record is from RNAcentral.
GAUCUGGCUCAGGACGAACGCUGGCGGCGUGCCUAACACAUGCAAGUCGAACGGAGAAUUUUAUUUCGGUAGAAUUCUUAGUGGCGAACGGGUGAGUAACGCGUAGGCAACCUACCCUUUAGACGGGGACAACAUUCCGAAAGGAGUGCUAAUACCGGAUGUGAUCAUCGUGCCGCAUGGCAGGAUGAAGAAAGAUGGCCUCUACAAGUAAGCUAUCGCUAAAGGAUGGGCCUGCGUCUGAUUAG